GGCCAGCCGCCGCGGUAAAACCAGCACCUUUAGUGGUCAGGAUGAUUAUUGGGCCUAAAGCCUCCGUAGCCGGCGCUAUAAGUUUUCGGUUAAAUCUGUACGCUCAACGUACAGGCUGCCGGGAAUACUGUAGCGCUAGGGAGUGGGAGAGGUAGACGGUACUCGGUAGGAAGGGGUAAAAUCCUUUGAUCUAUUGAUGACCACCUGUGGCGAAGGCGGUCUACCAGAACACGUCCGACGGUGAGGGAUGAUAGCUGGGGGAGCAAACCGGAUUAGAUA
Molecule: ribosomal RNA, 279 nt
Filed under: uncultured bacterium
Lineage: Bacteria
Description: partial 16S ribosomal RNA
Rfam family: Archaeal small subunit ribosomal RNA
Source: RNAcentral